RNAcentral lists this ribosomal RNA (253 nucleotides) under uncultured bacterium. Its description in RNAcentral is "partial 16S ribosomal RNA". It matches the Rfam family "Bacterial small subunit ribosomal RNA", at positions 524 to 776 of the family's 1533-position model. The record is from RNAcentral.
UACGAAGGGGGCUAGCGUUGCUCGGAAUUACUGGGCGUAAGGGGCGCGUAGGCGGAUAUCUAAGUUGGGGGUGAAAUCCCGGGGCUCAACCUCGGAAUUGCCUUCAAAACUGGAUAUCUUGAGUUCGGGAGAGGUGAGUGGAACUCCGAGUGUAGAGGUGAAAUUCGUAGAUAUUCGGAAGAACACCAGUGGCGAAGGCGACUCACUGGCCCGAUACUGACGCUGAGGCGCGAAAGCGUGGGGAGCAAACAGG